AACCUGCGGAGGGAUCAUUACACAAUAAAAUAUGAAGGCUGUACGCGGCUGUGCUCUCGGGCCAGUUUUGCGGAGGCUGAAUUAUUUAUUACCCUUGUCUUUUGCGCACUUGUUGUUUCCUGGGCGGGUUCGCCCGCCACCAGGACCACAUCAUAAACCUUUUUUAUGCAGUUGCAAUCAGCGUCAGUAUAACAAAUGUAAAUCAUUUACAACUUUCAACAACGGAUCUCUUGGUUCUGGCAUCGAUGAAGAACGCAGCGAAAUGCGAUACGUAGUGUGAAUUGCAGAAUUCAGUGAAUCAUCGAAUCUUUGAACGCACAUUGCGCCCUUUGGUAUUCCAAAGGGCAUGCCUGUUCGAGCGUCAUUUGUACCCUCAAGCUUUGCUUGGUGUUGGGCGUUUUUUGUCUUUGGUUGCCAAAGACUCGCCUUAAAAGGAUUGGCAGCCGGCCUACUGGUUUCGCAGCGCAGCACAUUUUUGCGCUUGCAAUCAGCAAAAGAGGACGGCAAUCCAUCAAGACUCCUUCUCACGUUNGACCUCGNAUCAGGUAGGGAUACCCGCUGAACUUAAGCAUAUCAAU
Molecule: ribosomal RNA, 578 nt
Filed under: Curvularia lunata
Lineage: Eukaryota; Fungi; Ascomycota; Dothideomycetes; Pleosporales; Pleosporaceae
Description: eukaryotic LSU rRNA
Rfam family: 5.8S ribosomal RNA (bases 211-364)
Source: RNAcentral